CGAUGAUGCAUAGCCCGAGUUGAGAGACUGAUCGGCCACAUUGGGGACUGAGACACGGCCCAAACUCCUACGGGAGGCAGCAGUAGGGAAUCUUCCACAAUGGACGCAAGUCUGAUGGAGCAAACGCCGCGUGAGUGAAGAAGGUUCGUAGUCGUAAGACUCUGUUGUUGGUGAAGAAGGAGUAGAGGUAGUAACUGGCCCUUUAUUUGACGGUAAUCAACUAGAAAGUCACGGGCUAACUACGUGCCAGCAGCCGCGGUAAAU
Molecule: ribosomal RNA, 264 nt
Filed under: uncultured Lactobacillales bacterium
Lineage: Bacteria; Bacillati; Bacillota; Bacilli; Lactobacillales
Description: partial 16S ribosomal RNA
Rfam family: Bacterial small subunit ribosomal RNA
Source: RNAcentral